RNAcentral lists this unclassified non-coding RNA (2424 nucleotides) under Hevea brasiliensis (rubber tree). The record is from RNAcentral. Lineage: Eukaryota; Viridiplantae; Streptophyta; Magnoliopsida; Malpighiales; Euphorbiaceae.
GGUGAUUAUAUAACAGUCAUUGUCAACUUUGUCUUCCAUUAAUUUGUUUCGCUAUUUCUGUUUGAAUCUUUGAUAAUUGGGUUUGCAUGCUUGCAUAAUAUAACUGGUAAUGAUUGUUGUUGAAUGUUCCUCUGUUGCAAGUUUUAUGAUCGUAUUGAAUUACAGUUGGAAGCUUUGGAAGUAACAUGCCAAAAUUGUUAACUGAAUGAGGGCAUGUGAUUGUUCAUAAGUUCUUCCAUAUACCGACAGAGAUAUUAUUGAUAAACCAAGCUACGAGUAUUUACACAAAAUUUGGUAACUAAAGUAGUUUUUGCAUGCAUAUUUGAAAAGCAAUGUCAUUACUCAUCAAAUGACCCAUUUUAGACUUUUUCCUUCUUGCUUGUGAGGAUAGGAUUCUGUUUUAUGCUUUCAAUAACAUGAUGUAUUCAUUGUCCUUUUCUAGUAUACUAUGAGGUUAUAUUUUAACUAUUACAUUGUUCGUUGUCAAACAUUUUGAGAAUUAUAAGCAUGGGCCCAAUAAUUUCCUGGGAAGAAUGUGCAAUAAAGUUUUUAGAUGUACUUCUCCUGUCCAUGUGUUGGAUGAUUUGUCUUUUAAUUUGAUAAUCUUCUAGAAGAAUAAAACAGUUUUAACCACUACAAAUGUUGAAGCUUACAUCCUAGAGUGCCGAGUGACUAAUUAUGUUCAAAAUGUGUUGAUGCAUCUGCUCUCCAUUUGAGAUUUCUAGCUGACUGUUUAAUUUUGUUCACCUUAAUUAGCUCUUGUUUCAUGUGCAAAAAGCAAUUUGGCAUAAAGACGACUGCUUAGAGUUGAAAAUAUUUCAGCUUCCAUACUUCCAUUAGCGUCUUAUUUUGGGAAAAUUAUAAUUUUAUUCCUAUCUCAACUCUAUAUUUGAUUGGGGGUUAUAUGUAGAUGCAUUAAAGUAUCUAUGGUAAUUUCUUGGAUAGGUUGCAAUUGGUAGGAGGCUUGGUAUUGAGGAACCGCAGCUUAUGAAGUUUAUGAGAGCAAUGCUUCACACGCACAAUGAGUGGUUUAAACUUCAAAUGUGUAAAGAUCACUUUGAAAGUCUUUUGAGGAUUGAUUCCUUGAAAGAAGUUAAUACUCCCAUGCUUUCUGCAUGUUCAUUGUCGAAGUCAAAUGCUGAUAGCUGCACCCAGGGAUCCAACCAAGUUACAGUAUCUUCAAGCACCAAAUUGUCUGAAGAUGGUGGCAGUCCAACUCAAGUGUCAUCCAGAGAUGUUGUAUGUGAUGAAAAUGCAAUACUCAAAGUUAUGGUAAGUUGUGCAUGUCUUGCUGUGCUGCAGUUUUGAUUAUUCCUCUCUCUUCCUGAUUCUCUCUCUUUCUCUCCAUUGGGGUAAUCAAGUCAAACUUAUUCUGGAAAAAAAAAAAAAAAAAGCACUGGAGCUGCUGCAGUAAAGUUAAUCCAUUUUUGACCUGGAGGACACGAGUUCAAGCCAUGGAAACAGCCUCUCUGCAAAGCAGGGAUAAGGCUGCAACCAGUCCAAAAUUUUGUACAUAUAAUCUCAAAUACUCCUGAAAAUUCUAGCCAAAUUAGUCUCUUUGUCUUCAUGAAUAACCCUUUUUCUAGCUCUUCGUGUAUAAUACAAGUAUUCAUUCAAUGCUAAUCUUCAUAAUGAGAAUAGGCCAAUGCAGGCAUACUUGUUACUGUUUCAUUAAUGUCCGGUCUGUGCUUUUUGUCUCUGCCCUCUUUCUCUUAACUACAAUUGGACUUCUGUUUUGCUCUUACAAAGAUAGUGUACUUGCCUAAAUUGAUCUGUUUUACUACUAGGAAAGCUUUUUUGAGCUUUUCAAUCAUGCUUUAUGCAAAAUAGUGAACAGAAAAUAAUUCUAGGGAAUGUUUUAUCUCAACAUUUUUCCUCUGCAAAGAUCAGCCUCAUCUUUAGGAUAUUGCAAAAUGUAUUGUUUACAGAAAAUAAUUUUAGGGAAACAUCUUAUCUCUACUUCUCUAAAAUGGUUGCUCUGAAAAGUCGAUUAUUUUAAUUGUCUGUAAUUUCACCUUAAAUAAACCAAGUCUUUGUUUUAUCCAUCUUCAACUUGUGCUCAUCACAGUGUCUCGCAUAGCUGUUGUUUAAUUAAUGGAUUGAUGCAGGAAUUUCUUGCUUUGCCAAGGGCUGAUGCCAUCCAUCUCCUUGCACAGUACAAUGGAAAUGCCGAGACGGUCAUCCAGCAAAUAUUUGCAUAGCUUGGGAUGUACAACUGUAUCAAAAAAACUUUUAUUUGUUUUAUUUAUUUCGAAGAAAUAUUAUUUUAUUCAAUUUGUAUCAUAGCUGUAGAUAUACAAAUACGAUGACUUGCAUAGUGAUAGCGCUAGUACCAUAUGCCAAAGAACACAGCCUUUUUUGUUGGUCUCUGUACAUUUUACAUCAUGUGUUCUUGUCAUUAAUAAAGCAAAUUAUUUAAUCGAC